GUUUAAUGGUGAAAACAGCAAUGAAAGCUACGUGAGUGUGAUUGAUAUGUUCAUGCUGGGAUUAACUAACUUGUAGCAUAGAGCUAUACAUCAGAUUCAGGGAUAGGCCUUCUAGAUGAAUGGGAUUGUUAAGUUGAGGGUGAACAUAUCAGACAACACAGCGAUUCUUCAAACAGCUCUUGUUUAUUCACAGGCCCAGAACAGAACUGGACUGAAGGGUUCAGCCAACCUGCUUAUGUAGAGCUCCACUACAAAGCAACAGUAACAACUUUCUGUAACUAUCCAAUCACUGAACGUCACUUUCAAUUCCUUAUUUGCAUAUGUGGACUUGAGUGAAAACUAUCUACAGGAUCCCCCUGCUGGCCCAGGAUUGGAAAGGGGGCGGACUUCCAGGAAAAAAAGACUUCAGCAAUCUCAUCCAAUGUGGGCGUGUUCCCCUGGAAGGUAACCUGCACAUAAAUUAUGGGCUUAGAAUUAUAGAAUCACAGAGUUUUGGAAAGGACCCCAAGGAUCAUCUAGUCCAACCCCCUGCAACAAAAGGGAUGACUGUACCCAACUACACACUACAUAAGUAAAUUCCACUGUGAUCACUAGGACAGCCUCCUAGUUAAGUGUAUAUGGGAAUGUAGCCCGAUAUUAUACUGUAAACUAUAAUAAACAAGAGCCGAGGGGAAAUUUCAUUGCACUUUAAGGUAGGGCAGUCCCAGCUACACCUGCUAAGAUUUCCUCUUCUGCACAUCCAUUAAAGGUGCACCAUCCUUGCCCUCUUUUGCCUCUAGCAACCCUAUCCUAAAGUAACCACAGUGCAUUUGGAAUAGCCGUGACUGGCCUCCUGUCAUUUCAGUCCUCAGU
This is a long non-coding RNA of Podarcis raffonei (Aeolian wall lizard), 852 nucleotides long. RefSeq lists it as uncharacterized. The transcript has 2 exons. The record is from RefSeq and is a predicted model, not a curated record. Lineage: Eukaryota; Metazoa; Chordata; Lepidosauria; Squamata; Lacertidae.